GACGAACGCUGGCGGCGUGCCUAACACAUGCAAGUCGAGCGGAGUCGAUCGACGGAAGCCUUCGGGCGGAAGAUGGUUGACUUAGCGGCGGAUGGGUGAGUAACGCGUGGGCAACCUGCCUCGAAGACCGGGAUAACAGCCCGAAAGGGCUGCUAAUACCGGAUGUGGUCAAGGAUCCGCAUGGAUUUUUGAUUAAAGGGGAAACCCGUUUCGAGAUGGGCCCGCGUCCUAUCAGCUAGUUGGUGAGGUAAAAGCUCACCAAGGCGACGACGGGUAGCCGGCCUGAGAGGGUGACCGGCCACACUGGAACUGAGACACGGUCCAGACUCCUACGGGGGGCAGCAGUGGGGAAUCUUCCACAAUGGGCGAAAGCCUGAUGGAGCGACGCCGCGUGAGCGAAGAAGGCCUUCGGUUGUAAGACUCUGUCUGGAGGGACGGAAGGAAGUGACGGUACCUCCGGAGGAAGCCACGGCUAACUACGUGCCAGCAGCCGCGGUAAAGGUACUCUAU
RNAcentral lists this ribosomal RNA (510 nucleotides) under uncultured bacterium. RNAcentral's name for it is "bacterial SSU rRNA". It matches the Rfam family "Bacterial small subunit ribosomal RNA", at positions 28 to 532 of the family's 1533-position model. The record is from RNAcentral.